Molecule: ribosomal RNA, 464 nt
Filed under: uncultured bacterium
Lineage: Bacteria
Description: bacterial SSU rRNA
Rfam family: Bacterial small subunit ribosomal RNA
Source: RNAcentral
AAUCAACGCUGGCGGCGUGCCUAACACAUGCAAGUCGCACGAGAAAGGGGGAGCAAUCCCUGAGUAAAGUGGCGCACGGGUGAGUAACACGUGAAUCAUCUACCUCCGAGUGGGGAAUAACUGAGAGAAAUCUUAGCUAAUACCGCAUAACACUCACGAGUCAAAGCAGCAAUGCGCUUGGAGAGGAGUUCGCGGCCGAUUAGUUAGUUGCGGGGUAAGGCCCACCAAGACGAUGAUCGGUAUCCGGCCUGAGAGGGCGCACGGACACACUGGAACUGAAACACGGUCCAGACUCCUACGGGAGGCAGCAGUGGGGAAUUUUGCGCAAUGGGGGAAACCCUGACGCAGCAACGCCGCGUGGAGGAUGAAGUAUCUUGGUACGUAAACUCCUUUCGAUUUGGGAAGAUAAUGACGGUACCAAUAGAAGAAGCCCCGGCUAACUUCGUGCCAGCAGCCGCCGUAAC